RNAcentral lists this ribosomal RNA (253 nucleotides) under uncultured bacterium. RNAcentral describes it as "partial 16S ribosomal RNA". It matches the Rfam family "Bacterial small subunit ribosomal RNA", at positions 524 to 776 of the family's 1533-position model. The record is from RNAcentral.
UACAGAGGUCCCGAGCGUUGUUCGGAUUCACUGGGCGUAGAGGGUGCGUAGGUGGCGAGGUAAGUCGGAUGUGAAAGCUCGGAGCUCAACUCCGAAAUGGCAUUGGAAACUACCUUGCUCGAGGGUUGGAGGGGGGACUGGAAUACUUGGUGUAGCAGUGAAAUGCGUAGAUAUCAAGUGGAACACCAGUGGCGAAGGCGAGUCCCUGGACAACUCCUGACACUGAGGCACGAAAGCUAGGGGAGCAAACAGG